GCAGCAAAACCAGCAGCUCCAAAUCCAGCAGCUUUAAUUCCAGCUCUAAAACAUAUCACGCAUUUGGAAAUAGUUAUCCCGUAUUCAAAUAUCGCGCGUAUAUCUGUUGAAAAGUGGACAGGGGCGGCAGGUUUCCUAGAACUGGACUGUCGGAUCUUCACAACAAAAAAAAAGAAAAAACCAAAUCCUGGAAAAAUAGUCUGCCGGUUGUUCUUUCUCUACCUGGGAUCUUCAUGCAUUAGAACUUCAAG
Long non-coding RNA from Eurytemora carolleeae, 251 nucleotides. RefSeq lists it as uncharacterized. The transcript has 3 exons. The record is from RefSeq and is a predicted model, not a curated record. Lineage: Eukaryota; Metazoa; Arthropoda; Copepoda; Calanoida; Temoridae.